RNAcentral lists this microRNA (18 nucleotides) under Pongo pygmaeus (Bornean orangutan). RNAcentral describes it as "ppy-miR-1260a". RNAcentral also lists the same sequence under 1 other name. Lineage: Eukaryota; Metazoa; Chordata; Mammalia; Primates; Hominidae. The record is from miRBase by way of RNAcentral.
AUCCCACCUCUGCCACCA